UCUGUCCUCUCCUCCUGCUGUCCCAGCUUCGCCCAGCUGGCCGGCUCAGAUAAGGGCUCCGGGGGCAGAUAAGAACUUCGUUCUCCUCCCUCUUCUGGAGAGCAGCAAACGGUGGGGCUGAGCUUUCACAGCCCUUAAACACCCAGGAAAGUUAAACCAGUCCCACCCCCUGCCAGGCUCUGGGAAAAACAUUUGUCAACGCAAAUCCUUGGUGAGAGAAGUGAAAUAAUAACCAAAAAAAAGUUGGUUCCCUUCUCCUCUCAGCCCUGAGCCACCCUUGAGGUUCCAGGGUAGGGUUACCUGGAGCAAAACCCAGUUCUGUGAUGUGGCAAAGACACACCCUGCAGGAGACAGGUUGGAAUUUGGCUCUGGAGCCGUUUUCUUGGGAAAACAAAAGGGUUUCUGUGACAGUGCAGAGCAAGUGCCAGCUCCAGGCUAUGAACUCCCUCCAGCCCCUGGAGGAAAUCUUGAUGGGACGUCGAGUCAGGACCUCGUAGUUCUUAUUUGAAGGACCAUUAAAAUGGAAAUAUUUUCUGAAAUGCAGCACAGGCGAGGAUCUGAGCUGCAGAGAAAAUGCUGCAGGUGAAACUUCUCCUGAAAAACCCUCCCCAGUCCAGAGGUGAGUGAGUGAUGAGCCAAAAAAAGAGGAUUUCGAGACAACGUGACUCCAGCAGGCCAUGAGAACAAUGAGAAGUUCAAAAAUAGCACUAUUGACUGCUGGAAAAACAACAUACAUAUAAUUUUCAGGCUUUGCUUAUUAAGAAUCAUUUACUAUCUGUGGAAACAACUUCUGACUUAAGCACUGGGGCCUUAAAAAAUCACUUUGAAUUGGAAUGAGAGAGUUCCUCCCAGUGAAAACCCUGGGUUUGUUGAUGCUGGAAGUGUGGAGAGUGCAAUUAAAAGCUUCCCUCACCUCUGUGAUGAUAUUUUGGAAAUAAAUGCAGCUUUCUGGAGUUCUUCUCCUCAGGUUUGAAUAGUUUUUGGCCAAUUUGAAGCUUCUGAAGGAACUGAUGUUUUAAGUCUUGCCUGGCUUUGAAUUUCUCAGCUCCCCGGGACCUGCUGUGGUUGCUUUUUACUUUUUCUUCUUGUGCUGCAUCCACAAAUUAUGAAAAUGGGUGCUAAUGACCAAAAAAAAGAAAAAAAAUCCCAAUCGUGAUUCAUGGAAAUGGAAUUUUGUUGACAAAAAAAAGGGGAUUUAACUUGGCCAAAGGAAAUGCUUUUCCAACUGGAGAUGAAUAUCUCAGGAAUGACCAUUUCUUCUCAGAGACAGAACCGUUCCAGUUUUAAUUUCAGAAAAAAUAAAAUAAAUAGAAUAAUUCAAA
Molecule: long non-coding RNA, 1322 nt
Organism: Onychostruthus taczanowskii (white-rumped snowfinch)
Lineage: Eukaryota; Metazoa; Chordata; Aves; Passeriformes; Passeridae
Exons: 3
Source: RefSeq, a predicted model, not a curated record